GUGUCAGCAGCCGCGGUAAUACGUAGGCAGCAAGCGUUGUUCGGAGUUACUGGGCGUAAAGAGUGUGUAGGCUGUUCUCUAAGUUUGGUGUGAAAUCUCCCGGCUUAACUGGGAGGGUGCGCCGAAAACUGGAGGGCUUGAGUAUGGGAGAGGAAAGCGGAAUUCCUGGUGUAGCGGUGAAAUGCGUAGAUAUCAGGAGGAACACCUGCGGUGUAGACGGCUUUCUGGACCAUCACUGACGCUGAGACACGAAAGCGUGGGGAGCAAACAGGAUUAGAUACCCUAGUAGUCC
RNAcentral lists this ribosomal RNA (292 nucleotides) under uncultured bacterium. RNAcentral describes it as "partial 16S ribosomal RNA". It matches the Rfam family "Bacterial small subunit ribosomal RNA", at positions 505 to 796 of the family's 1533-position model. The record is from RNAcentral.